UUACGGCCAUAUCACGUUGAAAUGUCGGUUCCCGUAGGAUCACCGAAGUUAAGAAAGGUCGAGCCUGGUCAGUACUUUGAUGAGUGGCCACUUGGGGGUACCAGGUAAUGUAA
This is a non-coding RNA of Acanthosepion pharaonis, 113 nucleotides long. NCBI's taxonomy places the organism in Eukaryota, Metazoa, Mollusca, Cephalopoda, Sepiida, Sepiidae. The record is from the annotation of a GenBank genome assembly.